CCCGUCGAUGGUUUCAUGCGAAUGUUAUUGAAUAAGAUUUCCAACGAUAUAAAGAUUUCCAAAAACGAAUAAGUUUUGGAUAUAAUCGAGCACAUUCGAAACUAUAAAAUAGUGGCCGGGAUAUUUGGGAAUAGUAAAUGUGCAGGAAAAUUUCCUGCACACAAACUACUGAGGCUAGCCGAAUUUUUGGGUCAACUUCAAACGAUCAUAAUUCCCUUAAUAUAAUGAACUGGGAGAGCUGUGACCUAUGAAAAGAUGAUCUUUGAGUGUUCUUUCCAAUGUAAUUGUUUUCAUCCAAAUCCAACGUCUGAGUGAGGAGUUAUACUCGUUUUACUUCAGCCUAUCAAAAUAGAUUUUUAGGGUCAACUUCAAAUAACUAUAACUCCUUGUAUAGGAUGAACUGGGUUUCCUACUUUAUAUUAAAUGAAAGCCCUUUUAAUUAUCCUUCCAACGAUACCAAUUUCACCCAAAUCCGAUAUUAGAGCAAAGAGUUAUGGUCGAUCUACUUUAGCUUAUUAAAAUAGUCCACCAAAGGACAGAUUUGACAUUAUUUCAAUUUCAAAGGUAUUUUGGUCAUGUCCUAUUAUAUUAUGGACGGGAAUAUGUGUAUAUAUACAUGUAUAUGAGUUCAAAAACUCAUUUUCGUCAUCAAUCAUUGAGGAAGAACAAAUCCUAGCCAAAUUUGACCUUUAAAUUACUUUUGAUUCAACCGUAGAAAUUCCAAAGU
This 727-nucleotide long non-coding RNA is filed under the name Capsicum annuum. RNAcentral describes it as "long non-coding RNA (CANN_LNC007091)". Lineage: Eukaryota; Viridiplantae; Streptophyta; Magnoliopsida; Solanales; Solanaceae. The record is from RNAcentral.